AUGAGUGGCGAACGGGUGAGUAACACGUGGGAAACCUACCUCUUAGCAGGGGAUAACAUUUGGAAACAAAUGCUAAUACCGUAUAAUAAUUAAAACCGCAUGGUUUUAGUUUAAAAGAUGGUCUUGCUAUCACUAAGAGAUGGUCCCGCGGUGUAUUAGUUAGUUGGUGAGGUAAUGGCUCACCAAGACAAUGAUACAUAGCCGAGUUGAGAGACUGACCGGCCACAAUGGGACUGAGACACGGCCCAUACUCCUACGGGAGGCAGCAGUAGGGAAUCUUCCACAAUGGACGAAAGUCUGAUGGAGCAACGCCGCGUGUGUGAUGAAGGGUUUCGGCUCGUAAAACACUGUUGUAAGAGAAGAAUGACAUUGAGAGUAACUGUUCAAUGUGUGACGGUAUCUUACCAGAAAGGAACGGCUAAAUACGUGCCAGCAGCCGCGGUAAUACGUAUGUUCCAAGCGUUAUCCGGAUUUAUUGGGCGUAAAGCGAGCGCAGACGGUUAUUUAAGUCUGAAGUGAAAGCCCUCGGCUCAACCGAGGAAUUGCUUUGGAAACUGGAUAACUUGAGUGCAGUAGAGGAAAGUGGAACUCCAUGUGUAGCGGUGAAAUGCGUAGAUAUAUGGAAGAACACCAGUGGCGAAGGCGGCUUUCUGGACUGUAACUGACGUUGAGGCUCGAAAGUGUGGGGUAGCAAACAGGAUUAGAUACCCUGGUAGUCCACACUGUAAACGAUGAGUGCUAGUUGUUCGAGGGUUUCCGCCCUUGAGUGACGAAGCUAACGCAUUAAGCACUCCGCCUGGGGAGUACGACCGCAAGGUUGAAACUCAAAGGAAUUGACGGGGACCCGCACAAGCGGUGGAGCAUGUGGUUUAAUUCGAAGCAACGCGAAGAACCUUACCAGGUCUUGACAUCCUUUGACCACUCCAGAGAUGGAGCUUUCCCUUCGGGGACAAAGUGACAGGUGGUGCAUGGUUGUCGUCAGCUCGUGUCGUGAGAUGUUGGGUUAAGUCCCGCAACGAGCGCAACCCUUAUUGUUAGUUGCCAGCAUUUAGUUGGGCACUCUAGCAAGACUGCCGGUGACAAACCGGAGGAAGGCGGGGAUGACGUCAAAUCAUCAUGCCCCUUAUGACCUGGGCUACACACGUGCUACAAUGGCAAGUACAACGAGUCGCCAACCCGCGAGGGUGCGCAAAUCUCUUAAAGCUUGUCUCAGUUCGGACUGUAGGCUGCAACUCGCCUACACGAAGUCGGAAUCGCUAGUAAUCGCGGAUCAGCACGCCGCGGUGAAUACGUUCCCGGGUCUUGUACACACCGCCCGUCACACCAUGAGAGUUUGUAACACCCAAAGUCGGUGAGGUAACCUUUUAUUAGGAGCCAGCCGCC
Molecule: ribosomal RNA, 1383 nt
Filed under: Weissella koreensis
Lineage: Bacteria; Bacillati; Bacillota; Bacilli; Lactobacillales; Lactobacillaceae
Description: 16S ribosomal RNA
Rfam family: Bacterial small subunit ribosomal RNA
Source: RNAcentral